UCCCAUGCAGAGGCGGGAAUGCUUAUACAAGACGAGAAGACCCUGUGGAGCUUAAGUCGCAUAACUCAACACAUACUACCAUCCAACCUAUCGGAACAAACUAUAUAAGCCACUGAGUUAUAGUUUUUGGUUGGGGUGACCUCGGAGCAUAAAAUUCAUUCCAAAUGAAUAUAACCUAGAUUAACAAAUCCAAGUGUAUUAAUACCAGUAAUUGACCCAUCUCUUGAUCAAUGGAACAUUACCCCAGGGAUAACAGUGCACUCCUAUUUGAGAGCCCAUAUUGAAAAUUAGGGUUUAUGACCUGGAUGUUGGAUCAGGACAUCCAAAUGGUACAAGUGCUAUUAAAGGUUCUUUUGUUCAACGAUUAAAGUCCUACAUGAUCUGAGUUCAGAUUGGAGAGAUCCAGGUCGGUUUCUAUCUGUAAAUUC
RNAcentral lists this non-coding RNA (428 nucleotides) under Sarcophilus harrisii (Tasmanian devil). Its description in RNAcentral is "Bacterial large subunit ribosomal RNA". It matches the Rfam family "Bacterial large subunit ribosomal RNA", at positions 2049 to 2651 of the family's 2925-position model. Lineage: Eukaryota; Metazoa; Chordata; Mammalia; Dasyuromorphia; Dasyuridae. The record is from Rfam by way of RNAcentral.